This 74-nucleotide transfer RNA is filed under the name Anaerolineales bacterium. Its description in RNAcentral is "tRNA-Arg". It matches the Rfam family "tRNA". From Rfam's summary of the family: Transfer RNA (tRNA) molecules are approximately 80 nucleotides in length. Their secondary structure includes four short double-helical elements and three loops (D, anti-codon, and T loops). Further hydrogen bonds mediate the characteristic L-shaped molecular structure. tRNAs have two regions of fundamental functional importance: the anti-codon, which is responsible for specific mRNA codon recognition, and the 3' end, to which the tRNAs corresponding amino acid is attached (by aminoacyl-tRNA synthetases). tRNAs cope with the degeneracy of the genetic code in two manners: having more than one tRNA (with a specific anti-codon) for a particular amino acid; and 'wobble' base-pairing, i.e. permitting non-standard base-pairing at the 3rd anti-codon position. RNAcentral also lists the same sequence under 2 other names. Lineage: Bacteria; Bacillati; Chloroflexota; Anaerolineae; Anaerolineales. The record is from RNAcentral.
GCCCCUGUAGCUCAAUUGGAUAGAGCGUUGCCCUCCGAAGGCAGAGGUUUCAGAUUCGAAUUCUGACAGGGGCA